GACGAACGCUGGCGGCGUGCUUAACACAUGCCAGUCGAACGGAAAGGCCCUGCUUUUGUGGGGUGCUCGAGUGGCGAACGGGUGAGUAACACGUGAGUAACCUGCCCUUGACUUUGGGAUAACUUCAGGAAACUGGGGCUAAUACCGGAUAGGAGCUCCUGCUGCAUGGUGGGGGUUGGAAAGUUUCGGCGGUUGGGGAUGGACUCGCGGCUUAUCAGCUUGUUGGUGGGGUAGUGGCUUACCAAGGCUUUGACGGGUAGCCGGCCUGAGAGGGUGACCGGCCACAUUGGGACUGAGAUACGGACCAGACUCGUACGGGAGGCAGCAGUGGGGAAUAUUGCACAAUGGGCGGAAGCCUGAUGCAGCAACGCCGCGUGCGGGAUGACGGCCUUCGGGUGGUAAACCGCUUUCGCCUGUGACGAAGCGUGAGUGACGGUAAUGGGUAAAGAAGCACCGGCUAACUACGUG
RNAcentral lists this ribosomal RNA (468 nucleotides) under uncultured bacterium. RNAcentral's name for it is "partial 16S ribosomal RNA". It matches the Rfam family "Bacterial small subunit ribosomal RNA", at positions 28 to 507 of the family's 1533-position model. The record is from RNAcentral.